RNAcentral lists this ribosomal RNA (253 nucleotides) under uncultured bacterium. RNAcentral describes it as "partial 16S ribosomal RNA". It matches the Rfam family "Bacterial small subunit ribosomal RNA", at positions 524 to 776 of the family's 1533-position model. RNAcentral also lists the same sequence under 1 other name. The record is from RNAcentral.
GACAGAGGGUGCAAACGUUGUUCGGAAUUACUGGGCGUAAAGCGCGUGUAGGCUGUCGUGCAAGUCGGGUGUGAAAGCCCGGGGCUCAACCCCGGAAGUGCACUCGAAACUGCAUGACUAGAGUCCUGGAGAGGGAGGCGGAAUUCUGGGUGUAGAGGUGAAAUUCGUAGAUAUCCAGAGGAACACCGGUGGCGAAGGCGGCCUCCUGGACAGUGACUGACGCUGAGACGCGAAAGCGUGGGGAGCAAACAGG